This 468-nucleotide ribosomal RNA is filed under the name uncultured bacterium. RNAcentral describes it as "partial 16S ribosomal RNA". It matches the Rfam family "Bacterial small subunit ribosomal RNA", at positions 28 to 507 of the family's 1533-position model. The record is from RNAcentral.
GACGAACGCUGGCGGCGUGCUUAACACAUGCAAGUCGAACGGAAAGGCCCUGCUGUUGUGGGGUGCUCGAGUGGCGAACGGGUGAGUAACACGUGAGUAACCUGCCCUUGACUUUGGGAUAACUUCAGGAAACUGGGGCUAAUACCGGAUAGGAGCUCCUGCUGCAUGGUGGGGGUUGGAAAGUUUCGGCGGUUGGGGAUGGACUCGCGGCUUAUCAGCUUGUUGGUGGGGUAGUUGCUUACCAAGGCUUUGACGGGUAGCCGGCCUGAGAGGGUUACCGGCCACAUUGGGACUGAGAUAGGGACCAGAAUCCUACGGGAGGCAGCAGUGGGGAAUAUUGCACAAUGGGCGGAAGCCUGAUGCAGCAACGCCGCGUGCGGGAUGACGGCCUUCGGGUUGUAAACCGCUUUCGCCUGUGACGAAGCGUGAGUGACGGUAAUGGGUAAAGAAGCACCGGCUAACUACGUG